Molecule: non-coding RNA, 81 nt
Organism: Paragonimus skrjabini miyazakii
Lineage: Eukaryota; Metazoa; Platyhelminthes; Trematoda; Plagiorchiida; Troglotrematidae
Source: the annotation of a GenBank genome assembly
GACUUCGUAGCUCAGUUGAUGGGGCACUUACUGCGUUUGAGCAUGCUUUUUCAGCUGCUGGUUCGAGUCCAGCUGAAGUUU